This 360-nucleotide unclassified non-coding RNA is filed under the name rhizosphere metagenome. RNAcentral describes it as "partial ribosomal RNA internal transcribed spacer region". The record is from RNAcentral.
GUAGGUGAACCUGCGGAAGGAUCAUUACCAAUCCAAAACUUUUAUAAACCACUUUGUGCACUAUGAACCCGAAUCCUUACCCCUUUCAAUUGCAAAAGAAAGAAAGACAGGCAAUUUCGAUUGUCUUAGCCUUUCCUUCUUUGUGAAAGGGAGGGGUAAGGAGUUUUUCCCUCUCUCUCACUUCUUUUGGAGUGAGAGACGAGGCUAAGACACACAUAAACAAAAACAUCUUUUCUUACAAAAAACUCUUAACAGUCAUGUUAAAAGGAUUUUUUGCCAAAAAAUCUUACAUGUUUGAAUGCUUAUAGCAAACAAAACUAAAAAAAAUGACAACUUUUAACGGUGGAUCUCUUGGCUCGU